Molecule: long non-coding RNA, 4226 nt
Filed under: Capsicum annuum
Lineage: Eukaryota; Viridiplantae; Streptophyta; Magnoliopsida; Solanales; Solanaceae
Description: long non-coding RNA (CANN_LNC015862)
Source: RNAcentral
AACAAAAAAAACUACUCAAUUCAAGAAGUCUUCCUCCAUAACAAAGCUUCUCUUUUCUAGCUUCCUCUUUUAAGUUGAAUUUUCCGAUCUUAGUUAACGAUCUUGGGCUAGCAGAAGGUCUCCCCAGUUACACCUUUCUUCUGUUAUUCUCCACAUGGUAUCACAACCAACACUACAAUAAAAUGUAUCUAUAGUUACGAAAUCUAAGAUAUGAAUUUAAAUUUCGUAGCUAUUAUCUAGUAAUAGCCACAAAAAUUUCAAUCUGUAGCUAUUUACUAAUUUGUAAAAUUUCUCAGCCACGCAAAUUAAAUUGGCAAAACUAAUUUCUCAUAGUUGCUACCAGUAUUAUUAAUCGUGGUAAUAAUUGCCUAAUUAGCUACAAAUCUAUUGCUACAGUAAAAAAAUUGGUAGCUAAUCAUAAGUUUUUGUCACGCCAUAAAAGUUAUCAUAGCAGUAGUAACUCUUUUAGCCAUAAGAAACUAUAUGAAAUAAAAUAUGUAGCUAAUAUAUUUUUUUUUGCUUUAGGAUAUAAAACUUGUAGCAAUAAUCACAUGAUAUAGCCACGUCUUUUUUUUCUAUGAUAAAAUUUCGUAGCUAAUUAUUAAUAUUUGCCACAAGUUGAAACGUAUUAUAGUAAUAGAAUCUUUUAGCCACAAAAAAUAUUUAAAAUAAAAUAUUAUGGAUGAAUAAAUAUUUUUACUUCAUUGUUUAUAAAAUUAUUGCAAUAGUUAAAUGAUAUAACCAUAAAUAUUUUGCUACAGUAAAAUUUCGUAGCUAAUUAUUUAUUUUUGCCAUGUAUCAAAACUUGUUGUAGCAAUAAUGACAUUUUAGCAAUGAAAAAGAUUAUUUAAAAUCAAAUAAUAUAACUAAACAAAUAUUUUUGCUUUGAUUACUAAUAAAAUCAUGCAUGGCGAUUGGUGACUUAAUAAUAGCUAUAUUAUUUGUCAUGACAAAUGAUUUAGCUGUAAAUUUAAUAUUAUGACAAAAUUUGAUGGCUAAUAAUUAUUUUUUACUACAAGUUGAGAUUUAUUGUAUACUGAUACAAUUCUAGUGUAACUAGAGGUGUUAAACAUUCCUUUUGAUUCAAUACUAUAUAUCUAUUUGUUGAAUUUCGAAUAUAAUUUUAAAAAAUAAGUGAUCAUAUCUAAUUAAAUUUGAUUAACUAAUUAUAUCGAUCUUAAAUAUAAUUUUACCAAAAUUUUCUAAAAUUUUAUCUUGAUCAUGUGCUUCUGAAAUUGUUAUUUGACUCAAACUUGUUUUAUCACAAUAAUAUGUUUAUCAAUUUAAUGUGAUUUGAGGCAUUAAUUGUUAAUUUAAUUCAAUUUUAUAGCUUAUAAGUUUUAAGUAAAUAUUUGAUUAUAUUUAUUUUAACUAACAUUAAAUUAGGAGAACUUCAAUAAGUCUCGUUCAAACUUCAUCCUCGCCAAGUAUUUUCAAAAUUGUUAUUUGGUUCAUACACGUAUAUACACACACACACAAUAAUUGUGUAUAAACAAAAGAAAUAAUUAAUUUCAAAUAACAAAAUUAAAAUACAAAAUAAAAGUGUAAUCUUCAAUAAUAAAUAUUUUAUAAACCUACUUAUAACCUUAAAAUUAUCAUCUGCCUUUCUACAUUGUCAUCUCAAUAGUUUAUUUUUAUUGCAAUGUGGUUUUUUUUGGAUGCUUAUUGUAUUUUUAUUAAUUGCAAGUCAAAUUUUUUUACUGAAAGUUAUAAAGAUGUUUAUAUAUGCUUGGUGCUUUAUUAUUUUAAAUUAAGUGCAUAUUUUUUUAAUAUGGGAUCAUUUACUCUUUUAAAAGUAUUCAUAAAAACUUUAAUAAAUCUAGAGAUAUUAUAUAUGAUAUUAGCAUGUACAUUCUACAAUGUACGUACAUUAUUAAAUUAUUAAGGAAUUAUAAUACUUGUAAAUGUAUGUGACUAUUUAAAUAUAUUAAAUUAUAAGUAUUUAUUUUAUGUUUUAUUAAAAAAAUUAUAUUAUAGUAUCUUUUGCGUUAUCUAUUCUCCUUCUUAUAUUUUCUAAUAUCUAAUAUUUGCAUGAGUUUUUUGAUGCAAUAUGAAUUAAUAUAGCAUAUAAAUAGACAAGUCAACCCUUUAGCAAAUAUAAUUAAGAUAUUAUAUUAAGAUACACACAGUAUUUAAGAAAGUGAUGUACAUUGACAUUUUAAUUGAUUUUUUUUUAUUUUUUGAUUUAUAAUUUUAUUUUAUUAUUAAAAUUUAUAUUUUGAAAUUGAUAUUUAAUUCAUAUAAUUCAUGUAAUUUUUAUAUUUUUAAAUUAAACUAUAUAUUGCAAUGCAAAAUUCAUAUUUUUGUUUAAAUUCAAAUAAAAUAAUUGAAUGUUGUGAAAGUAUAUUCCACUGUAAUAACAUACUUUAAUUUGAGCUUAAAAUAAUGUUAUUAGUAUAAAAAUAAAUUAAAGUUACAUUUUAAAAAAAAAAUUAUCGCAAAAUAAUUUUCAACGUGAAAUUUUUGUUGGAUGACACUUGCCACCUCAAUAUUUUUUUUUCACCUAUUAAUAUAGGUUGAUUUUCUAAUCUUAAUUUUAUUUUAUUUUUGAAUUUACUAUUUUAAACUUGAAAUUUGAUCCAUAUAAUUCAUUUUAAAUUCAUAUACUUUUUAUUUUUUCAAUUCGAACUAAAAAGUAUAAUUCAUAAUUCAUAUCCUAAUUUUAAAUCAAAUUGAAAUAAUCAAAUAUUGUAGAAGCAUGAUUCCACCACAACAGAGAACUUAAAUUGAAUUUGAAUUCACGUUUUUAAUGUAUAAAAAGUUGAAUUGACAUUUUUUUUUUUUGAAAUUUCUAUCUUACAAUAAUUUUUAAAAUUAAUUUUAUGGUAAUUGAUACUUGUUAUCGAAAUAUUAUUUAGUUUCUCCUAUUUAUAUAGAAAUGUUGUGCACAUUUUAUGAUUUUCACAAUUUAUUUUGUUUUAAGAUUUCCUAUGUUAAACUUGACAUCGUAAUCCAUAUAAAUCAUUCUAAAUUUAUAUAAAACAACACACUCGAUGUAGUCCCAUAAAGUGAAUUUAACUAGAGUAGAAUAUAUACACACCUUACUCCUACCUCAUAAAUUAAAAAAAGUAUUUUAAAUUCAUAUAUAGCAUUUGUCAAAAAUAAAGAAAAAUAUAUACAUAUAAUAAUAGGUAAACACAAAAGGCAAUUGGCCAAAAGAGAAAAUAUUAUCCUUGACUUUCUUUUGUUUUAAAUUUUAAUACAAUUGGAUUUCUUUUGUUUUAAUAAAACGAAAAUUUUCGUCCCAUAUUAAAAAGUUUCCUCCAGCCACACACCUCCACCCUUCUCAUUUCUAAACCUAAAAUCUCCCCCCAAAAUUAAAAAAUCUCAAAAGAAUAAAAUUCCCCCGCAUAAUUUUAAAAUCUAAUUAAAUAACCUAAUCCUACUUCACACUUAACAAACACUCAUAUCCCUUUACCCUCUCCCCAAUUCAUUAUUGUCCCCUCCCCCUCGCCCCUCCCUUCCCCCCUCCCCAUUCGUUUCACCCGUAUUUCAAUUUGUAAUUUGGGUUGAAAUUGUUUAUUUGAUAUUUUGCUAAAUUACUUUUUCUUUUGUAGGCGUUACAAUGUAGAAUUUUCCAAGUAAAGGUAAUUUUCUAUUCGUGUAGGUUUUAAAGUAUUAAUAUUGAAAUUGACAUCUUUCACUUAUGAGAUUACAUUAAGUAUAUUAUUAUUGUUUUAUUGAAAUUUGACAUCGAUAACUAUAGGUUUGAAAAAAUUUAUAAAGUGUGCAAGUUUGUUUACUUCUUUGGUCGCUUUGCACUUUUUCUUGUUUUUAUUGAUUAAAAAUUUUAGAAAUGAAUUAUCUAAAAUAUAUUUUUUCUAUUGAAAUUCUAUGUAUACAAACAAUUGCAUAUAUAAUCAUUAUUCUUGAUAUUCUUGGUGCUAAUAUAUUUUGCAAUUAUUGAUAGAUAUAUUAGUGAAAAAAGAACAUAUAAACGACAACUUAGAAUGGAUAUUGAUCAAGUUAAGGAGCAAUUCAAGAACGUUGAAGGAGAGAGAAGACCAUGCUGCUUUGGAUUCAAAUAAGAUGUUGUCUUAAAAUAAUUGUAUAUUGUGACAAUUCUCAAAAUUGUAACAGUUGUAUAUAACUUGACAACUAUUUGGGAUUUGUAGCUACAUUAUGUAACAUUCCGAUAAACAAGGCAAGUAAAAAAUUCUUUAAUUUGUAAAAAUGAAAUUGUUGAAAAUUAUUUUGGAUUUUAAUAGUUUUUAUUUUAGUUACAU